This 603-nucleotide ribosomal RNA is filed under the name Russula aeruginea. Its description in RNAcentral is "eukaryotic LSU rRNA". The stretch from base 190 to 343 matches the Rfam family "5.8S ribosomal RNA". The record is from RNAcentral. Lineage: Eukaryota; Fungi; Basidiomycota; Agaricomycetes; Russulales; Russulaceae.
UGUUGCUGACCUCAAGGUCGUGCACGCCCGGAGUGCUCUCUCACAUCCAUCUCACCCCUUUGUGCAUCAUCGCGUGGGGCCCUCUCCUUUGGCUUGUUCCGGAAGGGGGGGGGUUCACGUUUUUACACGAACAACCCAUUAAUGCAUGUGUAGAAUGUCUUACUUUUUGCGGUCACACGCAAUCAAUACAACUUUCAACAACGGAUCUCUUGGCUCUCGCAUCGAUGAAAAACGCAGCGAAAUGCGAUACGUAAUGUGAAUUGCAGAAUUCAGUGAAUCAUCGAAUCUUUGAACGCACCUUGCGCCCCUUGGUAUUCCGAGGGGUGCACCCGUUUGAGUGUCGUGAACACCCUCAACCUUCUUGGUUUAUCGACCGGGAAGGCUUGGACUUUGGAGGUUUUUGUUGCUGGCCUCGUUUGAAGCCAGCUCCUCCUAAACGAAUUAGUGGGGUCCGCCGUGCCGACCCUCGACGUGAUAAGUACGCUUCUACGUCUUGGGGUUUCGCACUGUCGCCUGCUUCCAACCGUCUUUGAAUGAAGACAAUCUUAUAGACCUUGACCUCAAAUCGGGUGAGACUACCCGCUGAACUUAAGCAUAUCAAUA